GCCGUCUGUUUUUUUUUUUUUUACUCUAAGCUACGGGCCAGAUACAAAAAUAAUAGGUGAGUGUUACAUAGCUUUUUUGUGGCUGCCAGAAGUAGCUUUAAUAUAAUUCUCAACAGUGUGCUAAUGCCUUAUGCAAUAUAUGUAUAUUCAAACAAAUCAUGCAAUGAAAGCAACUACCAUCCUGCUCUAUUAGUAUGAGCAUUUGAUAACUAAGACGGCUAUUAAUGGUUGUUUCUAUUAGCUCCCGAAAGAGUCAUCAGCUGCAAUUCUUACCCAUGCAAAGCUUAAAGCACGACUCAGCUUCGCCUGAGAAUGGACUUCAGAAUUACUCUACAUGGAUUUAACUCUACUUACACAUACAGACUACAGGUUUCUACCUCUUGCAACAAAAGAUUUAGACCUAAGAAGCAUAAGACAGUUCUCUCUAGGGAGGACUGGCAUCACUACAAGUAAUGGGGGCUAAAGUGAUGAUCCCUGCUAUGACCUUGCUAUCUUCUAUGCGAGAGCGCGCGCAAUGGUUUGCAAGCCUAUUUCAUGGCAUGUGGCAAUUGGUGAGAUUCUCAAGCUUGUGUGGCAGUUCUUGCCACCUGCAGCAGCAGAUGCAACUGCAUUCAGAUUACAUUUCUCAUUACAAGUACUAAACUAAAUGGAUAAAUCACCAGUUGUGGAGGUCAACCGUUCUAGACUGAUGCCCGUGUUAACCCAAAGUUCAUUAGAAGGCUACUAUCCAAAGCUGGUUGACUUUUUUUUUUUUUUUUUAUUGUCAAAACUCUACAAUUUAGAAAAAAUUGUGUAGAAACACUGGCAAGACUUUGGGAUGUCCCCUCCCCAAUCCAUUUUUGGACCAGCUUAUGCUAAUGCUCUGUCCUUGGUCAGUGUAAAUAGGGCCACUCAGCCCUUCCCUAUACUAGACUAAAGUCUCCACUUGCUGAUGCUCACUCUGGCUCUGCUCCACCAGCCAGCACAGGAGGGGACGCAAAACAGUGGGGGUAGCUGGAGUUUCAAGCACCAUAGCAUCUGAACUUGCCAUAAGCAGGAUGAGUCAAGAUAGUGGUCCAAAGCCAAACAUCCCGUCUCCCCAGCUGUUCCCACGUUUGCCAUCACGUGCUGAACUAAACAGUGGAGGAACUCUACAGGGGAAGCCCAUCAAAAACUCCCAAAGAUAUAGGACCAAUUGCAAAAAAAAAAAAAAGGUGCCAAUUUACAGAUCUGAAUGUGUGCAGAGAUCAAACCACCUUCUCAGUCCCAGAGAUGUUUCUCAACCAGGAUCAUGGUUGAGAAACACUG
Gavialis gangeticus (Gharial) is the source of this 1287-nucleotide long non-coding RNA. RefSeq lists it as uncharacterized. The transcript has 3 exons. The record is from RefSeq and is a predicted model, not a curated record. Lineage: Eukaryota; Metazoa; Chordata; Crocodylia; Gavialidae.